UACGGGGGGAGCAAGCGUUGUUCGGAUUUACUGGGCGUAAAGGGCGCGUAGGCGGCCCGGUAAGUCCGCUGUGAAAGUCGGGGGCUCAACCCUCGAAUGCCGGUGGAUACUGUCGGGCUAGAGUGCGGAAGAGGCGAGUGGAAUUCCUGGUGUAGCGGUGAAAUGCGCAGAUAUCAGGAGGAACACCGAUUGCGAAGGCAGCUCGCUGGGACGUAACUGACACUCAGGGACGAAAGCUAGGGGAGCGAAUGGG
RNAcentral lists this ribosomal RNA (253 nucleotides) under uncultured bacterium. Its description in RNAcentral is "partial 16S ribosomal RNA". It matches the Rfam family "Bacterial small subunit ribosomal RNA", at positions 524 to 776 of the family's 1533-position model. The record is from RNAcentral.